RNAcentral lists this unclassified non-coding RNA (1990 nucleotides) under Hevea brasiliensis (rubber tree). Lineage: Eukaryota; Viridiplantae; Streptophyta; Magnoliopsida; Malpighiales; Euphorbiaceae. The record is from RNAcentral.
GGCGUACUCGUUGAUCAGGCCCAACUUGUCUCAAAGGAGCUUAUCAGGGUUGCAAUACUUUGGCAUGAAAUGUGGCAUGAGGCAUUGGAAGAGGCCAGUCGUCUGUAUUUUGGUGAACACAACAUUGAGGGCAUGCUGAAGGUGUUAGAGCCUCUGCAUGAAAUGCUUGAGGAAGGAGCGAUGCGGAAUAAUACUACUAUGAAGGAGAAAGCAUUCAUCCAGGCAUACCGUAUUGAGUUGUUGGAGGCCUAUGAAUGCUGUAUGAAGUAUCGGAGAACAGGAAAAGAUGCUGAAUUAAUACAGGCUUGGGAUCUCUAUUACCAUGUAUUCAGGCGGAUAGAUAAGCAGCUUCAAACACUCACUACGCUGGAUUUACAGUCCGUUUCCCCCGAGUUGCUAGAAUGUCGAGAUUUAGAGCUAGCUGUUCCUGGAACUUAUCGAGCAGAUACACCAGUGGUGACAAUUGCAUCAUUUGCACCCCAACUUGUUGUAAUUACAUCCAAACAACGACCUCGUAAAUUGACAAUCCAUGGGAGUGAUGGAAAAGACUAUGCUUUCUUGCUCAAAGGGCAUGAAGAUUUACGCCAAGAUGAACGUGUCAUGCAGUUGUUUGGUCUGGUUAAUACUUUGCUGGAGAACUCGAGAAAGACUGCAGAGAAAGAUUUAUCAAUUCAACGAUAUGAUGUCAUUCCAUUGUCCCCUAAUAGUGGACUGAUAGAAUGGGUUCCAAAUUGUGACACCUUGCACCAACUUAUUCGAGAAUAUAGGGAUGCUCGGAAGAUCACCCUAAAUCAAGAGCAUAAAUUGAUGCUGAGUUUUGCACCGGAUUAUGAUAAUUUGCCACUUAUUGCUAAGGUGGAGGUGUUUGAAUAUGCACUGCAAAAUACAGAAGGGAAUGACUUAUCAAGGGUUCUUUGGUUAAAGAGUCGCACUUCUGAGGUCUGGCUGGACAGAAGAACAAAUUAUACAAGAAGUUUGGCUGUCAUGAGCAUGGUUGGAUACUUACUUGGUUUGGGCGAUCGACAUCCUAGUAACCUCAUGCUUCACCGAUUUAGUGGGAAGAUUCUGCAUAUUGAUUUUGGAGAUUGUUUUGAAGCUUCAAUGAAUAGGGAGAAGUUUCCAGAGAAGGUUCCGUUUCGCCUCACUAGGAUGCUUGUAAAAGCAAUGGAGGUCAGUGGUAUAGAGGGAAAUUUCCGGUCAACAUGUGAGAAUGUAAUGCAAGUUCUCCGACUGCAUAAAGAUAGUGUUAUGGCUAUGAUGGAGGCCUUUGUUCAUGACCCACUUAUAAAUUGGCGUCUUUUCAAUUUCAAUGAAGUUCCGCAAAUGUCCACACUUGCCAGUGCACAUGUGCCUCCUGUUGUGAAUAGUGAGGAUUCCUCUUCAGAUAGAGAGCUUCUUCAACCACAAAGGGGUGCAAGGGAGAGAGAACUGCUUCAGGCGGUCAAUCAAUUAGGUGAUGCCAAUGAAGUUCUAAAUGAACGUGCUGUGGCUGUCAUGGCUCGAAUGAGUAAUAAACUCACUGGACGUGAUUUUGCUGCUACCUCUGCAUCUUCAAGCUCUCUACAGCAUCCACUGGAUCACAGUACGUUGAUUUCUGGAGAGACGCGUGAAGCUGAUCAUGGUUUAUCAGUGAAAUUACAAGUCCAAAAACUUAUUCAGCAAGCAAUGUCUCAUGAAAAUCUUUGCCAAAAUUAUGUUGGGUGGUGUCCAUUUUGGUAGGUUAAGGGUGAUAAUUAUCUGUAUAUUUGUACAGUGUUUGAUCCUUUGUAGAAGUUCUUGGAAGAAGUCCAGCAUGUACAGAACUUAGGUUUUAUGUAAAGUCCUAAGUUUGUGGUAGCCAGUUGUUGUAUUAAGCAAGGUAGCGUAUCGGCAGCAUGUAAUCUAGCUCCAACAAUAAGACUGGUUAGAGUCUGAGAAUGGUGAAUAUUUAUUCUGUACAGCUAUUUACAUAGUGAAAUGAACCCUUGUGAAGAGGAUAAAGUUGGUUGUC